AUUGAACGCUGGCGGCAGGCCUAACACAUGCAAGUCGAGCGGCAGCGGAAAGUAGCUUGCUACUUUGCCGGCGAGCGGCGGACGGGUGAGUAAUGUCUGGGAAACUGCCUGAUGGAGGGGGAUAACUACUGGAAACGGUAGCUAAUACCGCAUAACGUCGCAAGACCAAAGAGGGGGACCUUCGGGCCCCUUGCCCCCAGCGGUGCGCAGAUGGGAUUAGCUAGUAGGUGGGGUAACGGCUCACCUAGGCGACGAUCCCUAGCUGGUCUGAGAGGAUGACCAGCCACACUGGAACUGAGACACGGUCCAGACUCCUACGGGAGGCAGCAGUGGGGAAUAUUGCACAAUGGGCGCAAGCCUGAUGCAGCCAUGCCGCGUGUAUGAAGAAGGCCUUCGGGUUGUAAAGUACUUUCAGCGGGGAGGAAGGUGUUGUGGUUAAUAACCACAGCAAUUGACGUUACCCGCAGAAGAAGCACCGGCUAACUCCGUGCCAGCCGCCGCCGUAA
RNAcentral lists this ribosomal RNA (506 nucleotides) under uncultured bacterium. RNAcentral's name for it is "partial 16S ribosomal RNA". It matches the Rfam family "Bacterial small subunit ribosomal RNA", at positions 29 to 523 of the family's 1533-position model. The record is from RNAcentral.